AGACCUCUGUCAUGUUCGCCCGGGGAAACGUUCUCGAACCGACUCUUUCCUGACGGGAAGCCAAACACCCACUGUUACGGUUAUCCUCUCUCGGGAGGCAAACCCGACCAGUGGUGCGGCUUCCACCUGAGCCUAUCGGGUUCAGAAUUAUGUUCUUACAGCGGCAUUGCGAUGGAGGUCUU
This 182-nucleotide non-coding RNA is filed under the name Planctomycetota bacterium. Its description in RNAcentral is "6S RNA". It matches the Rfam family "6S / SsrS RNA". From Rfam's summary of the family: E. coli 6S RNA was the first non coding RNA to be sequenced, but its function was unknown until recently. It consists of 184 nucleotides that fold into an extended hairpin structure with a large single-stranded internal bulge. The record is from RNAcentral. Lineage: Bacteria; Pseudomonadati; Planctomycetota.